Molecule: transfer RNA, 67 nt
Filed under: Blanus strauchi (Turkish worm lizard)
Lineage: Eukaryota; Metazoa; Chordata; Lepidosauria; Squamata; Blanidae
Description: tRNA-His
Source: RNAcentral
UACAUAUAGUUUAACAAAACACCAGACUGUGACUCUGGAAAUCGAAGCCACAAACUUCUUAUGCACC